This 253-nucleotide ribosomal RNA is filed under the name uncultured bacterium. RNAcentral's name for it is "partial 16S ribosomal RNA". It matches the Rfam family "Bacterial small subunit ribosomal RNA", at positions 524 to 776 of the family's 1533-position model. The record is from RNAcentral.
UACGAAGGGGGCUAGCGUUGUUCGGAAUCACUGGGCGUGAAGGGCGCGUAGGCGGCCGAUCAAGUCGGGGGUGAAAGCCUGUGGCUCAACCACAGAAUUGCCUUCGAUACUGUUUGGCUUGAGACCGGAAGAGGUUAGUGGAGCUGCGAGUGUAGAGGUGAAAUUCGUAGAUAUUCGCAAGAACACCAGUGGCGAAGGCGGCUGACUGGUCCGGUUCUGACGCUGAGGCGCGAAAGCGUGGGGAGCAAACAGG